RNAcentral lists this ribosomal RNA (253 nucleotides) under uncultured bacterium. RNAcentral's name for it is "partial 16S ribosomal RNA". It matches the Rfam family "Bacterial small subunit ribosomal RNA", at positions 524 to 776 of the family's 1533-position model. The record is from RNAcentral.
UACGGAGGGUGCAAGCGUUGUCCGGAUUUAUUGGGUUUAAAGGGUGCGUAGGCGGCUAUUUAAGUCAGUGGUGAAAUCCAACAGCUUAACUGUUGAACUGCCAUUGAUACUGGAUGGCUUGAGUACAGACGAGGUAGGCGGAAUUUAUGGUGUAGCGGUGAAAUGCAUAGAUACCAUAAAGAACACCGAUUGCGAAGGCAGCUUACUAGGCUGUAACUGACGCUGAGGCACGAAAGUGUGGGGAUCAAACAGG